GUUUCCUACGGGACGCAGCAGUGGGGAAUAUUGCACAAUGGGGGAAACCCUGAUGCAGCGACGCCGCGUGAGUGAAGAAGUAAUUCGUUAUGUAAAGCUCUAUCAGCAGGGAAGAAAAUGACGGUACCUGAGUAAGAAGCCCCGGCUAACUACGUGCCAGCAGCCGCGGUAAUACGUAGGGGGCAAGCGUUAUCCGGAUUUACUGGGUUUAAAGGGUGCGUAGGCGGGCUUUUAAGUCAGCGGUAAAAAUUCGGGGCUCAACCCCGUCCGGCCGUUGAAACUGGGGGCCUUGAGUGGGCGAGAAG
Molecule: ribosomal RNA, 305 nt
Filed under: uncultured bacterium
Lineage: Bacteria
Description: bacterial SSU rRNA
Rfam family: Bacterial small subunit ribosomal RNA
Source: RNAcentral